CAAAUCCCCAUUCAGCCAUGAUACUUGCUGGGUGACUCUGGGCCAGUCACUUCUCUCUCAGCCUAACCCUACAGGGUUGUUGUGAGGACAAACUUAAGUAUGUAGUACACCACUCUGGGCUCUGGAGGAAGAGUGGGAUAUAAAUGUAUUAAAUAAAUAAAUAAGCUGCCUAAAGUGUCAUCAUGGAGAUGAACAUUUAGAUGGCAAAGCACUUUUUAUUGUAAGGAAAGAUCUCUAUAAAUUCAUAAUUACAACAAAACACACCAGGGCACAGUUUUGAUUUCCAUCAGAAUUCAUUUUAUGGCUUACUUUGGGAUUGCUUCAGCUGAAAUACGUAGAAUUAACUUUGACAUACAGCUAUUCUUUCAGUAUAUUGCUUUUAAAACAGCAUGCCAUUGUUUUAGGAGGAUGAAUAUUUCUGAAAGUGAAAAAAAGACUUCAUUCAAAAAACACAGAGAAAAAUGAACCUUAACAAUAGAUCUUUAUAGAAAGAGGACUGGGCUGCUAUAUACACUGCCCAUGGGAUUGUAUAGUUCUGAGUCAGCUGACCCAGACAGGAAUAACAAUCAGAGUUCUGUACAGCAAUAAUUGUUUGCUGGGGCACUUAUUGGAACAAAUUGCCGGGGUGGAGGGGAGGGAUGAAAACAAAGGCUACAACUUGCCAUGAUCUUUGCACUAUUGAAUCAAUGUCCAUUUCUCAGAUACUGCAGUGAGGAACAACACUGAAAUCUAAUAAUGACCAGGAGGUGCCAUCAUUGUAUCUAAGCAGGAAAGAUGUAAACAGCUGAGUAGGAACUGUUAUUUCAAAGGGCACAUCCAGAGAGCAUUACAUGUAAAAUUGGCCUUGAUGAUCCAACCGCAGAUGUUCUUCAGGACUCUGACUUCAACAGUAGUGUACAAUAUUGUCUUCAGUAGCAUCAUGCCUGCCAGGAGGUGGUAAUGGGCUGGAUUAGGGACAACAAACUGAAAUUGAAUCCAAAUAAGACAGAAGUACUGACUGGAGUGGCGUGGCAUGGGGUCAGAACUCAAGUGAUGGUUUAGAUCUGCCUGUUCUGGAUGGGGUUACACUUCCCCAGAAGGAACAAGUACAUAGCUUGGGAGUUCUCCUGGAUCCAAAACUCUCUCUGUUUUCUCAGGCUGGGCCAGGAGCGCUUUUUAUCAACUUCAGCUGAUACCCAGAACUAUGCACUUUCCUUUUCUGUAGGAAAGUGACUUUAAUACAGUGGUACAGCUGGUAAGCUUCAGGCUUGACUACAGUAAUGCACUCUUUGUGGGGCUGCCCUUGUAUAUAGUCCAGAAACUACAUUUGGUGCAGAAUGCGAUAGCCAGAGUGGUCUCCAGGAUAACCCAAAGAGACCAUAUAACACUGAUUUUAAAAUAAUUGCACUGGCUGCCAAUAUGUUACUGAGCAAAGUACAUCGUGCUGGUUAUUUCCUAUACAGCCCUGAAUGGCUUAGGUCCAGGGUAUUUAGGAGAGCAUCUCCUUUGUCAUGAACCCCUCCAUCUAUUAACAUCAUCUGGGGAGGUCCAGUUAUGGCUACCACCAGCUUGUUUGGUGGCUACUUGUGACUGGACCUUCUCAGUGGCUGCCCUGGAGUAGGGAUGUGCACAGAACCGUUCAGCGCUCCAUUAUAGGAGUACCAAACUGGUUCCCUUAACUGGUGUUCAAGCUGGUUAAAAGGUGCAGGGGGUGGAUAACUUUAAGGGUGGGGGAUUACUUUAAGGGCAGUGUAUGACAUGCACAUGUGCACUGGGAACUUUUGGUCACUUCCAGUCCAAAGGAGCAACAGGGCAGCAGGGAGGUAUGCUGCUGCCCCGCUGAACCAUUUGAAUACACAGCCCCGGUGGGGGAAACGCAGUGGGAGGGGUAAGAGCACCCUCCCCCACCCUUAAAUUUUUCCACCCCGUCACCUUUGGACCAGCAAGUGCCGUUUCUAUGCACAUCCCUACUUUGGGGCUCUGGAAUUCACAUGGUUUAAUCAUUUUAUCCUGUUUUUAUACUUUAUUUUAACUUAUGUACACUGCCUAGGAAUGCACAUGUCAGGCAGUAUAGAAAUAUGAUAAAUAAAUAAAUAGAUAGAGAGAUAAGUAAUAGAGUCUUCAGAUGCCCCUGGGAAGCUUACAAGCAUAAUUAUAGCCAUCCUUUGUUCAUUUGCAGCUUCCGAAACCCAUUAAACUACAUGAAUGUACACAAACUUAAUUCACAUAGCCUGUUCACACUUUUUACUUUCUGCCUGUCUGUAUCCCUCACACACUAUUCGCAUGUCAGCCACAUAUUUACCCAUCCAUCAAAGUCAAGCUCCUGUGACUUUUUUUGGAAACACUGGCAUAAAGGAACUGCCUUGGGAUUGUUUUAAUGAAAGGUGGUGUAUAAAUUUAAUAAUUAAAAAUAAUAAUAAUAAACGUCACCGGUUCGUUUGGUGACGACUCAGAGGCGGGCCUUCUCUGUAGCUGCUCCUGGACAGUGGAAUGCACUCCCAGUGGAAAUUUGUAAUCUUGAUUCUUUACUGUCCUUCAAGAGAGCCCUUAAAACCUAUCUGUUUGGCCUGGCCUUUCAGGGUUUUUAAUCAGUUUUAAUUGUUUUAAUACCUGGUUUUCAGGGUUUUAAUUGUUUUGAUAGUUUAAUUGUUUUUUAAGUUGUUUUAAAUUGGUAUUUAUAUUUGUAUCUCUGUUUUAAUUGUUUUUAAUGUUUUCUGUUUUAAUUGUAAACCACCCUGAGCCAUUUCGGAAGGGUGGUAUAGAAAUCAAAUCAAAUCAAAUCAAAUCAAUAAAUCAAUAAAUAAA
This is a long non-coding RNA of Hemicordylus capensis (graceful crag lizard), 2784 nucleotides long. RefSeq lists it as uncharacterized. The record is from RefSeq and is a predicted model, not a curated record. The transcript has 2 exons. Lineage: Eukaryota; Metazoa; Chordata; Lepidosauria; Squamata; Cordylidae.